AUAUUUCUGCCCGGCGCUCCCAGGGCGAGGCAUGUGCAUUGCACUCCGCUCGUGUUGACCCCUGCCACUUCCCCAAACUGGGGUAGAUGGGGCAUGCAAUUUUUAGUAGUGGGGGGACUGCGUGCGCGCUAUCCCCCC
This 138-nucleotide small nuclear RNA is filed under the name Haemaphysalis longicornis (longhorned tick). RNAcentral describes it as "U1 spliceosomal RNA". It matches the Rfam family "U1 spliceosomal RNA". From Rfam's summary of the family: U1 is a small nuclear RNA (snRNA) component of the spliceosome (involved in pre-mRNA splicing). Its 5' end forms complementary base pairs with the 5' splice junction, thus defining the 5' donor site of an intron. The record is from Rfam by way of RNAcentral. Lineage: Eukaryota; Metazoa; Arthropoda; Arachnida; Ixodida; Ixodidae.